This is a long non-coding RNA of Populus euphratica (Euphrates poplar), 477 nucleotides long. RefSeq lists it as uncharacterized. The transcript is spliced from 3 exons. The record is from RefSeq and is a predicted model, not a curated record. NCBI's taxonomy places the organism in Eukaryota, Viridiplantae, Streptophyta, Magnoliopsida, Malpighiales, Salicaceae.
CUCCAAGUCCACGUCUCCAACCUUCCCCUUUGCGCUUUUGCCCUUUCCCUUUUCUUCUUUCCCCAAAUCGUUUUAGGUUUGUUAACUUUUAGCCUUCUCGCAUCAGAUCAGCUGAUGACAUGAAAUCACUGAUUGACUCGUUGAAUUCCAGUGUUCCAACAUAUUCUUUACAAAGGAAAAUGAUAUCCGUCUUGGUAUGUAAGCCAAAAGAAAUACUAUUCGGAAGGAUUUUCUUCUUCAUCAAAAUUUUAAAUCUUCUCUGACUUUGGACUUGCAAAGGUGCUUAACCCAGAAGACCCUGCUUCUUUGGUACUCGGCACUCGGCACUCCUAAUUACAUGUGUCCCGAGCUCCUAGCAGACAUAUGGUCACUUGGACGCUGUAUGUUUGAAAUGGCAGCACAUUAACCAGUAUAUAGAGCUCCUGUGAUUACGAGCCUGAUCUUCUAUUACAAAUGUAGCAUAAAUAUAAUUUGUUU